GGCCAUGGCCUUCCAACUCGGAUCGUCCGGCACGUUCCUGCCGGUUGAAAGGGUGUAUC
Regulatory RNA element from Actinospica robiniae DSM 44927, 59 nucleotides. It matches the Rfam family "msiK RNA". NCBI's taxonomy places the organism in Bacteria, Bacillati, Actinomycetota, Actinomycetes, Catenulisporales, Actinospicaceae. The record is from Rfam.